RNAcentral lists this ribosomal RNA (253 nucleotides) under uncultured bacterium. RNAcentral describes it as "partial 16S ribosomal RNA". It matches the Rfam family "Bacterial small subunit ribosomal RNA", at positions 524 to 776 of the family's 1533-position model. The record is from RNAcentral.
UACGUAGGGUGCGAGCGUUAAUCGGAAUUACUGGGCGUAAAGCGUGCGCAGGCGGUUGUGUAAGACAGGUGUGAAAUCCCCGGGCUUAACCUGGGAAUUGCAUUUGUGACUGCACGGCUAGAGUUUGGCAGAGGGGGGUAGAAUUCCACGUGUAGCAGUGAAAUGCGUAGAGAUGUGGAGGAACACCGAUGGCGAAGGCAGCCCCCUGGGCCGACACUGACGCUCAGGCACGAAAGCGUGGGGAGCAAACAGG